This is a non-coding RNA of Triticum urartu, 125 nucleotides long. Lineage: Eukaryota; Viridiplantae; Streptophyta; Magnoliopsida; Poales; Poaceae. The record is from Rfam.
CUAGUACUCUCUUCGUUCGGAAAUACUUGUCGGAGGAAUGGAUGUAUCUAGUCGUAUUUUAGUUUUAAAUGCAUCCAUUUUUAUCUAAUUAUACGACAAGUAUUUCCAGACGGAGGGAGUAGAAC